GAUGAUGUGGCAGGAAACCAUUGGUUGAUACAUGUCGUCGGGUAGGAACUCAACCAGUGUGUGAGGUGUACCAUUUCUGCAUUGGUUGAUACAUGUCGCUGGGUAGGAACUCAACCAGUGUGUGAGGUGUACUAUUUCUGCAUUGGUUGAUACAUGUCGCUGGGUAGGAACUCAACCAGUGUGUGAGGUGUACCAUUUCUGCUUCCAUUUCCCCAGGAAGUACCGGACUUCCUCCUCGUUUUGGUUCAUCCGAGGAUCGAACUGAAUAAAAAGGUGUUUGUAGACCAUACAAGUGAAUAAACAAACAAAACAACAUUCUCUGUUUUCUAUUUUAUUUGGGUUUCCAUGUCUGAUGUCCGACACACUCAAACCAACCACAGUACAGAGGGGAAGUGAGGUGAAGUGGAAGUCGUCUCUAAGCCAGACGUUUUCUGAACUCAGUUCUGGGGAUCUCAAAGUUAGGGUUUUUGGUCCUAAUAUAACAUAUACCAUUCGGCAGACGCUUUUAUCCCACACAUGCAUACAUUUUACGUACGAGUGGUCCCGGGAAUCAAACAGACUACCCUGGCGUUUACAAGCGCCAUGCUCUACCAACUGAGCUACAGAGCACUACACAGCUGUUUCAAAUAAGCAAAGCUUGAUAUUGUGUUGAUUAUUUGAAAUAGUCCGUAAUGCUAGGGCCACAAAAGAAACAUGCACCCCUUGGGGUUCCCAGGAAAGACAUUGUGAUCCAGGGUCAGGUAUGUUUUCCUUCCACUAAAGGUUAAGGUUAAUAUUGAGGGUUUUACAGUCAUCUUUACUAGGCAAAAUCUGGUUAAAUCAACGUUGUUUCAACAACAACAUCUAUGUGAUGACAUUGAAUGAAACGAUGUGGAAAAUGACUUCCCUUCAGGGUUAGGGGUCAAUUCCCAUAUCAACUCCAGUCAAUUCAGGAAGUACGUUGAAAUUUCCAUUCUCGCCCAUGAGAAACAUUUGGAAUUUGAUUUACUUUCGGAAUUAAAACCGAAUUUGAGGGCAACCCUGCUUCUCUACAGGUCGGUACAAAGACUACAACUCUGCUUCUCUACAGGUCGGUACAAAGACUACAACCCUGCUUCUCUACAGGUCGGUACAAAGACUACAACCCUGCUUCUCUACAGGUCGGUACAAAGACUACAACCAUGCUUCUCUACAAGUCGGUACAAAGACUACAACCCUGCUUCUCUACAGGUCGGUACAAAGACUACAACCCUGCUUCUCUACAGGUCGGUACAAAGACUACAACCCUGCUUCUCUACAGGUCGGUACAAAGACUACAACCCUGCUUCUCUACAGGUCGGUAACAAAGACAGUAUAUGAGUGAGAGAUGCAACACUUCUGAUUUUAUAAAACAGGACAAAAGUUGUUCAACACGGUUUUUGUUGCAAGACAAACGCAAAUUAUUU
Oncorhynchus keta (chum salmon) is the source of this 1424-nucleotide long non-coding RNA. RefSeq lists it as uncharacterized. NCBI's taxonomy places the organism in Eukaryota, Metazoa, Chordata, Actinopteri, Salmoniformes, Salmonidae. The record is from RefSeq and is a predicted model, not a curated record. The transcript is spliced from 5 exons.